Molecule: ribosomal RNA, 301 nt
Filed under: uncultured Lactobacillus sp.
Lineage: Bacteria; Bacillati; Bacillota; Bacilli; Lactobacillales; Lactobacillaceae
Description: bacterial SSU rRNA
Rfam family: Bacterial small subunit ribosomal RNA
Source: RNAcentral
AACUUGGUGCCAGCAGAAGGGGUAAUGCAUAGAGCUCAAGCGUUAGCCGGAAUCAGUGGGUGUAAAGCGUACCGAUAGGUGGUUUACUAAGUUUUGGGUAAAAGCCAGAAGCUCAACUUCUGCGUUUGCUCAAGAUACUGGUAGACUAGAGGAGUAAAGAGGUGGCUGGAACCAACGGUGUAGUAGUGAAAUGCGUUGAUAUCGUUGGGAACACCGAAAGCGAAGGCAGGCCACUGGGUACUACCUGACACUGCUAGGACGAAAGCGUGGGGAGCGAAUGGGAUUAGAUACCCUGGUAGUC